Molecule: ribosomal RNA, 376 nt
Filed under: uncultured marine Chaetocerotaceae
Lineage: Eukaryota; Bacillariophyta; Thalassiosirophyceae; Chaetocerotales; Chaetocerotaceae
Description: SSU rRNA
Rfam family: Eukaryotic small subunit ribosomal RNA
Source: RNAcentral
AGCUCCAAUAGCGUAUAUUAAAGUUGCUGCAGUUAAAAAGCUCGUAGUUGCAUUUCCGAGGCAAGGGAUUAGUCCGACCUUUGGUGGGUAUUUAAUCCUCUUGCCUCGUCCUUGAGUGGUGCUUCUUGGUAUUAAGUUAUCGAGGAGAUAGCCGCUCAUCGUUUACUGUGAGAAAAUUAGAGUGUUCAAAGCAGGCUUAUGCCGUUGAAUAUAUUAGAAUAAUAAGAUAGGACCUCGGUACUAUUUUGUUGGUUUGAGAACCAAGGUAAUGAUGAAUAGGGACAGUUGGGGGUAUUCGUAUUCAGUUGUCAGAGGUGAAAUUCUUAGAUUUACGGAAGACGAACUACUGCGAAAGCAUUUACCAAGGAUGUUUUCA